AAUACAAGCACAAAAAAAGAGAUCUGAUUAGUGAUUAGCCGCCUUAUGUGAUGUCAUCAAAGUCAUUUGAGAGUCCAACCUUGUUUUUCCAAAGGGAAUCAAGAUCUUAUUUUCUUUCAAUGCAAAGCACUAAAAGAAAAAAAAAACUGCAACGAAACAUUUUGCUACAAGUGACAAACUAUAUCAAAAGUGGACUUUGUUGCGUUUUCAGAAAAGUCUGGGCAGCAAGCUUUACGGUGGCUACUUUGUUGUUCAAAACUGUGACGCUGGAAAAUAUGUCCCAGUCAAAGCCCAUUUAAUCAUUACGUGUGAUAUAAAAACUCCUACAUGUAAAAGUCAACAACAGUACAAGCUCUUUUACUAAAUUCCACCUAGGUGUGUGUUAGCUGAGAUAAUCUCGUCUGGUUGGCAAACUUUGCUAGCAUAGAUCAAACACUGAGCCAAGUGUCAUCAUUUCCUUACAUUAAACAGCAACGCUUAGAAACUUCACGGCUCCUUUCCAAACACAUUUACACAUUAAUUCUCAUGUCUUUUUAAAAUUAUAAUAAAUGAAACAAAACUGUUCUGCUAUGUCGCAUUAACGGAUUCCAACAUGAAUGCGUAAUGACGUCUAAGCAGAAACAGGACGCAGAACGUAGUCUGCCGCAGCUCACACACAUAAACGAACAGCUAACUGCUUUGCCGACAUGAAAAUGAAACGUCCGGGUUGCGGUUGUCCGGCUGUGAACCUAACGGUCCUAACGGCGUGUGUCCAGCCGGCUGGUUGAGCUCAGAAAGGUGCAACCGCUCAAGAUCCGAGCUGGUCUUUUCAUGUUUUCAUGGAGUAUAGAAAUCAGUUAUUUGUUUAUUUUUUUCUCUCUCUCUCUCUCUCUCUUUGCGGAUUGGGGAAAAUCUAGAAACCAGCUUUCAUACUGGGAGAUACGCGAGGAGCUCCGAUGAGAGUGGUCGGAUUUUCUCCCAGCAAACGUCCAGAGGCUGUUCUGUCCCUCGUCGUGUCCCCGCUAAUUUCAUCCCCCUGCUCUCGUGUGCGGUCGGCAGAGUGUGCGUGGGCGUACGGCCCGGACAGAUGUGCGGGUCGGGCCUGCUGGAGAGAGAAGGGACUGGGAUCCGGGCAAACGGAGGGAGGAGUGAUAACGGGGACCGAGGGAGGGACGCAGAUGACGUCCGAGCACGAGGGAACGCUUGGCUGACAUGUCCGCGUUUUGUUGCCACACCGAGGAAAGUUUUACUUCUGUACCAGUUACUCACUGGUUCCAAGCCAUGGCCAUUUUACUGUAUUUCGGGGUUUUUAAUCACUACGUUAUAAAUAAUUUUCUAAAAAAUAAUUUUACUAUUGUAUACUGUUAAAACGCAUAACUUUUAUAAAUACACUGAAGAGACAUAUUUUUACGUUAGUAUCUUGUUUCCAGAGAUUUUAAAUAAGAUUUUUCAUUCUUGAGUCAACUUUUAAAUUAAAUUUCAUUGCGAGUUAAAUAUAAUCCUUUACGCAUCUUUUGUUUGAGAUUUCUCUGUGCAUUUAUUAAACAGUUUGCCCUUUU
Long non-coding RNA from Xiphophorus couchianus (Monterrey platyfish), 1538 nucleotides. RefSeq lists it as uncharacterized. The record is from RefSeq and is a predicted model, not a curated record. NCBI's taxonomy places the organism in Eukaryota, Metazoa, Chordata, Actinopteri, Cyprinodontiformes, Poeciliidae. The transcript has 2 exons.